This 484-nucleotide ribosomal RNA is filed under the name uncultured bacterium. Its description in RNAcentral is "SSU rRNA". It matches the Rfam family "Bacterial small subunit ribosomal RNA", at positions 26 to 518 of the family's 1533-position model. The record is from RNAcentral.
AGAGCGAACGCUGGCGGCGUGCUUAACACAUGCAAGUCGAACGAGGUCUGUAGCAAUACAGAUACUCGUGGCGAACGGGUGCGUAACACGUGGAUAACCUUCCUUCAGGUGGGGAAUAACCCAGUGAAAAUUGGGCUAAUACCGCAUAACAUGACGAUGCCACAUGGUGUUGUCUUCAAAGGCGCAAGUCGCCAGAAGAGGGAUCCGCGGCCGAUUAGCUAGUUGGCGAGGUAAUGGCUCACCAAGGCAAUGAUCGGUAGCCGGACUGAGAGGUUGGCCGGCCACACUGGAACUGAGACACGGUCCAGACUCCUACGGGAGGCAGCAGUGGGGAAUCUUGCACAAUGGACGAAAGUCUGAUGCAGCAACGCCGCGUGGGGGAUGAAGCUUUUCGGAGUGUAAACCCCUUUCGACCCGGAAGAAAGCCCGCAAGGGUUUGACGGUACGGUAUAAGAAGCCCGGCUAACUCUGUGCCAGCAGCCGC